GUUGGGACACCUGGACGCCUUGUGGACCAUCUAACCAAUACUAAAGGUUUUUCUCUGCGCACAUUGAAGUAUCUGGUUCUUGAUGAGGCAGAUAGGUUACUGAAUGAAGACUUUGAAAAAUCAAUUGAUGAAAUUCUGAAUGAAAUUCCUCGUGAGAGGAGAACAUAUCUAUUUUCUGCUACUAUGACAAAAAAGGUUCGGAAACUUCAAAGGGCAUGCUUAAGGAAUCCUGUUAAGAUUGAAGCGGCAACCAAAUAUUCCACAGUAGACACACUAAAGCAGCAAUAUUGUUUUAUCCCUGCGAAGUAUAAGGAGUGUUAUCUUGUCUAUAUCUUAACUGAGAUGUCUGGUUCAACAUCAAUGGUCUUCACUCGCACUUGUGACGCCACUCGCCUUCUAUCAUUGAUUCUUCGAAAUCUUGGAUUAAGAGCCAUACCCAUAAGUGGUCAGAUGACCCAGGCAAAGAGACUAGGAGCCUUAAAUAAGUUCAAGGCUGGAGAGUGCAAUGUUCUCAUCUGUACUGAUGUGGCUAGCAGAGGACUUGAUAUUCCAUCUGUGGAUAUGGUCAUCAAUUAUGAUAUUCCUUCAAAUUCCAAGGAUUACAUACAUAGAGUUGGAAGAACUGCUCGUGCAGGUCGUUCUGGGGUUGCCAUCUCCUUGGUUAAUCAGUAUGAGUUAGAGUGGUAUAUACAGAUAGAGAAGCUCAUAGGGAAAAAAUUACCGCAGUUUUCCGCUCAAGAAGAGGAAGUUUUGAUGCUGUUAGAGCGUGUGACAGAGGCAAAGAGAAUAUCUCUCAUGAAAAUUAAAGAAGCUGGUGGUAAAAAGAGGAGGCGAGGUGGAGAUGACGACGAUGACAACGACAAUAACGAUGUUGAAAAGUAUUUGCGUCUCAAGACUGGAAAGGGUGGAAAAAUGUCCAAGAAUGGAAAAACAUCCAAGAAGUUGAAAAGAAGAUGAGUCAAAAUUAUUUAUAUUUAUAAUUUGAAGAGUUUCAAAUCGUUUGCUUCAAAUUUUGCUAUAGUUUCAGGCGAAUAUGAUGUUCUAAGUUGAAUACAAAUCAUUAAUGAAUGAGCAAUUUUG
RNAcentral lists this unclassified non-coding RNA (1080 nucleotides) under Hevea brasiliensis (rubber tree). Lineage: Eukaryota; Viridiplantae; Streptophyta; Magnoliopsida; Malpighiales; Euphorbiaceae. The record is from RNAcentral.